This 516-nucleotide ribosomal RNA is filed under the name Clibanarius humilis. RNAcentral describes it as "partial 16S ribosomal RNA". It matches the Rfam family "Bacterial large subunit ribosomal RNA", at positions 1831 to 2597 of the family's 2925-position model. Lineage: Eukaryota; Metazoa; Arthropoda; Malacostraca; Decapoda; Diogenidae. The record is from RNAcentral.
GUCUAUAUGAAGGUUUAUAUAGUCUGGCCUGCCCACUGAGUUUUGAAGGGCCGCGGUAUCUCUGACCGUGCGAAGGUAGCAUAAUCAGUAGUCUUUUAAUUGAAGGCUUGUAUGAACGGUUGGACGAAAAAUGUACUGUUUCGAGCAAAAUUCUUGAAUUUAACUUUUAAGUGAAAAGGCUUAAAUGGGUUAAAAAGACGAUAAGACCCUAUAAAUCUUGACAUUUUUUUUUAUACUUUAUUGGUUUGUUGUGUGUUAAAAAUGAGUAUUAUAAGUGUGUUGUGUUGGGGCAACAAUAGUAUAGUGGCAUUAAUUAUUAGUGUGAUAAAACAAAAAUGAUUGUUGAGAUAGAUAGAUCCUUGUUAAAGAUUAAGAGAUUAAGUUACUUUAGGGAUAACAGCGUUAUUUUUUCUGAGAGUUCUUAUCGAAGAAAAAGAUUGCGACCUCGAUGUUGAAUUAAAAAAUCUCUUUAGUGUAGUCGUUAAAGAAGAAAGUCUGUUCGACUUUUAAAUUUUU